Molecule: ribosomal RNA, 500 nt
Filed under: uncultured bacterium
Lineage: Bacteria
Description: partial 16S ribosomal RNA
Rfam family: Bacterial small subunit ribosomal RNA
Source: RNAcentral
AUUGAACGCUGGCGGAAUGCUUUACACAUGCAAGUCGAACGGCAGCACGGACUUCGGUCUGGUGGCGAGUGGCGAACGGGUGAGUAAUGGAUCGGAACGUGCCCAGUCGUGGGGGAUAACGUAGUGAAAAUUACGCUAAUACCGCAUACGAUCUAUGGAUGAAAGCGGGUGAUCGCAAGACCGCGCGCGAUUGGAGGGGCCGAUAUCAGAUUAGGUAGUUGGUGGGGUAAAGGCCCACCAAGACAACGAUCUGUAGCUGGUCUGAGAGGACGACCAGCUACACUGGAACUGAGACACGGUCCAGACUCCUACGGGAGGCAGCAGUGGGGAAUUUUGGACAAUGGGCGAAAGCCUGAUCCAGCCAUUCCGCGUGCAGGAUGAAGGCCCUCGGGUUGUAAACUGCUUUUGUACAGAACGAAAAGGUUUCUACUAAUACUAGGAGCUCAUGACGGUACUGUAAGAAUAAGCACCGGCUAACUACGUGCCAGCAGCCGCCGUAA